AAGUCAAAGACUGAAAUUCGUUCAGCUCCUGAAAAAUACAGGUUUUCAAAUUUGUUAUUAACUAGAAUACAUGUUAGAACAAAACUAUGGUCUGUCGCUGACAAGGUCACGUUCAGUUUUGCGCGCUUUACGCGGAGGAUGGUUUUCCAACAUGUGGUUUCAUCCAGGUUAGCUAAACAGACGAAGCAGCUAUGACGUUAAAUGCUUUGGAUUGUGUAACAGUUUGGAUCGACGGAAUUCAAAGCCGGUGGGUGGGAUGCUGGCCGCUGCCUCUGUUAUUGUUAACCACUGAAGGAUUUCAAAUGGAGUGGGGAACAGUACGGACUGGCUUGUGGAAAAAGUGGGCUUGGUGUGGAUUGAGGAGGAACCGAUUUGACUGCGUGGAGAAAUCGAGACUCAUCAGACCAGGCAACAUUCUUCCAGUCUUCAACUGUCCAAUUUUGACACUGCCAGCGAACACUCAGCAAGGUGCUCCCUCCAUGACCAAGAGAGGAACCCAUGGACAUCCAAGUUCCAGUCAACUUAUCCCUGCACUGAAGCACCUUCUCGUCUUUCGGGUUCGAACCUUUUCUGCUGAAUGUAUUUUAUUCAGUUUUCAAUCG
Molecule: long non-coding RNA, 602 nt
Organism: Esox lucius (northern pike)
Lineage: Eukaryota; Metazoa; Chordata; Actinopteri; Esociformes; Esocidae
Source: Ensembl